UGGGGAAUAUUGGGCAAUGGAGGGAACUCUGACCCAGCGACGCCGCGUGAAGGAUGAAGUAUUUCGGUAUGUAAACUUCGAAAGAAUAGGAAGAAUAAAUGACGGUACUAUUUAUAAGGUCCGGCUAACUACGUGCCAGCAGCCGCGGUAAUACGUAGGGACCAAGCGUUGUUCGGAUUUACUGGGCGUAAAGGGCGCGUAGGCGGCAAUUCAAGUCAUCUGUGAAAUCUCCGGGCUUAACUCGGAACGGUCAGAUGAUACUGCUUUGCUAGAGUGCAGAAGGGGCAAUCGGAAUUCUUGGUGUAGCGGUGAAAUGCGUAGAUAUCAAGAGGAACACCUGAGGUGAAGACGGGUUGCUGGGCUGACACUGACGCUGAGGCGCGAAAGCCAGGGGAGCAAACGGGAUUAGAUACCCCAGUAGUCCCUGAGCGGGCUGGCAAGGCGCAU
This 447-nucleotide ribosomal RNA is filed under the name uncultured bacterium. RNAcentral's name for it is "bacterial SSU rRNA". It matches the Rfam family "Bacterial small subunit ribosomal RNA", at positions 355 to 825 of the family's 1533-position model. The record is from RNAcentral.